This 468-nucleotide ribosomal RNA is filed under the name uncultured bacterium. RNAcentral describes it as "partial 16S ribosomal RNA". It matches the Rfam family "Bacterial small subunit ribosomal RNA", at positions 28 to 507 of the family's 1533-position model. The record is from RNAcentral.
GACGAACGCUGGCGGCGUGCUUAACACAUGCAAGUCGAACGGAAAGGCCCUGCUUUUGUGGGGUGCUCGAGUGGCGAACGGGUGAGUAACACGUGAGUAACCUGCCCUUGACUUUGGGAUAACUUCAGGAAACUGGGGCUAAUACCGGAUAGGAGCUCCUGCUGCAUGGUGGGGGUUGGAAAGUUUCGGCGGUUGGGGAUGGACUCGCGGCUUAUCAGCUUGUUGGGGGGGUAGUGGCUUACCAAGGCUUUGACGGGUAGCCGGCCUGAGAGGGUGACCGGCCACAUUGGGACUGAGAGACGGCCCAGACUCCUACGGGAGGCAGCAGUGGGGAAUAUUGCAGAAUGGGCGGAAGCCUGAUGCAGCAACGCCGCGUGCGGGAUGACGGCCUUCGGGUUGUAAACCGCUUUCGCCUGUGACGAAGCGUGAGUGACGGUAAUGGGUAAAGAAGCACCGGCUAACUACGUG